Molecule: ribosomal RNA, 465 nt
Filed under: Vreelandella stevensii
Lineage: Bacteria; Pseudomonadati; Pseudomonadota; Gammaproteobacteria; Oceanospirillales; Halomonadaceae
Description: partial 16S ribosomal RNA
Rfam family: Bacterial small subunit ribosomal RNA
Source: RNAcentral
CCUACGGGGAGCAGCAGUGGGGAAUAUUGGACAAUGGGCGAAAGCCUGAUCCAGCCAUGCCGCGUGUGUGAAGAAGGCCUUCGGGUUGUAAAGCACUUUCAGUGGGGAAGAAAGCCUUGGGGCUAAUACCCUCGAGGAAGGACAUCACCCACAGAAGAAGCACCGGCUAACUCCGUGCCAGCAGCCGCGGUAAUACGGAGGGUGCGAGCGUUAAUCGGAAUUACUGGGCGUAAAGCGCGCGUAGGCGGUCUGAUAAGCCGGUUGUGAAAGCCCCGGGCUCAACCUGGGAACGGCAUCCGGAACUGUCAGGCUAGAGCGCAGGAGAGGAAGGUAGAAUUCCCGGUGUAGCGGUGAAAUGCGUAGAGAUCGGGAGGAAUACCAGUGGCGAAGGCGGCCUUCUGGACUGACACUGACGCUGAGGUGCGAAAGCGUGGGUAGCAAACAGGAUUAGAUACCCGUGUAGUC